CAGUAGCCACGGUAAUACGAGGGGAGCAAGCGUUGUUCGGAAUUAUUGGGCGUAAAGGGUGCGUAGGCGGUUCAGCGAGUCUCGUGUGAAAUCUUCGGGCUCAACCCGAAGUCUGCACGGGAAACUACUGGGCUUGAGUAAUGGAGAGGUGAGUGGAAUUUCCGGUGUAGCGGUGAAAUGCGUAGAUAUCGGAAGGAACACCUGUGGCGAAAGCGGCUCACUGGACAUUUACUGACGCCGAUGCACGAAAGCUAGGGGAGCAAACAGGAUUAGAUACCCCCGUAGUCCCUGUCUCUUAUAA
This 301-nucleotide ribosomal RNA is filed under the name uncultured bacterium. RNAcentral's name for it is "partial 16S ribosomal RNA". It matches the Rfam family "Bacterial small subunit ribosomal RNA", at positions 509 to 809 of the family's 1533-position model. The record is from RNAcentral.